GUUGCUGAUUUGUCCAGGCUGGGCUGGAACUUUCGAUCCUCCUGCCUCAGCCUCUCACAGUGCCGUGGUGACGGACACGCGCUCCUGUGCCUGGCUGCACCAAUGCUUUAAGCCGCUGGAGUCGUGUUAGGACCGACCGGAAGGCCGCUGUCACUGGCCAAAGCGGGAGAACGCCAAAACAGGGAAGACCCCCAUCACGGCACUCCUCACCCCUGCAGUGCCUCCUGGUUUAGAGGCUCGCGAUCCUCCUUUUCCAGCUGUCAUCCCUGGAGGAUCGAGGUGAGUUUGAGGCCAGCCUGGGCUACAGAGUGAGACCCUGAAUCAAAUCAAUCAAUCAGUCAAUUGUUGCACAUCUGCCAGGUAUGAGGUGCAUACCUGUCAUCCCCGCCACUCUGGUGGCUGAAGCAGGAGGAUCUCAAGUUCACGUGCAGCCUGGGCAGCUUGCUGAGACUGCCUCAGAAUAAAUACUGUGAUACAAA
This is a long non-coding RNA of Chinchilla lanigera (long-tailed chinchilla), 479 nucleotides long. RefSeq lists it as uncharacterized. The record is from RefSeq and is a predicted model, not a curated record. The transcript has 2 exons. NCBI's taxonomy places the organism in Eukaryota, Metazoa, Chordata, Mammalia, Rodentia, Chinchillidae.